GAUUAUGGCUCAGGAUGAACGCUGGCGGCGUGCUUAACACAUGCAAGUCGAACGAAGCAUUCCAACUCUCGGAGGAAGAAAUGACUGAGUGGCGGACGGGUGAGUAACGCGUGGGUAACCUGCCUUAUACAGGGGGAUAACAGUUAGAAAUGACUGCUAAUACCGCAUAACCCGCUAGUACCGCAUGGUACAGACGGAAAAGAUUUAUCGGUAUAAGAUGGACCCGCGUCUGAUUAGCUAGUUGGUGAGGUAAUGGCUCACCAAGGCGACGAUCAGUAGCCGGCUUGAGAGAGUGAACGGCCACAUUGGGACUGAGACACGGCCCAAACUCCUACGGGAGGCAGCAGUGGGGAAUAUUGCACAAUGGGGGAAACCCUGAUGCAGCAACGCCGCGUGAAGGAAGAAGUAUUUCGGUAUGUAAACUUCUAUCAGCAGGAAAGAAAAUGACGGUACCUGACUAAGAAGCCCCGGCUAACUACGUGCCAGCCGCUGC
Molecule: ribosomal RNA, 493 nt
Filed under: uncultured bacterium
Lineage: Bacteria
Description: bacterial SSU rRNA
Rfam family: Bacterial small subunit ribosomal RNA
Source: RNAcentral